RNAcentral lists this non-coding RNA (159 nucleotides) under Thomasclavelia cocleata. RNAcentral's name for it is "[Clostridium] cocleatum 6S RNA". It matches the Rfam family "6S / SsrS RNA". From Rfam's summary of the family: E. coli 6S RNA was the first non coding RNA to be sequenced, but its function was unknown until recently. It consists of 184 nucleotides that fold into an extended hairpin structure with a large single-stranded internal bulge. The record is from RNAcentral. Lineage: Bacteria; Bacillati; Bacillota; Erysipelotrichia; Erysipelotrichales; Coprobacillaceae.
UAAUUUUGGUUAGAGAGUAAAUAAAUUUCCACAUCAUAGAUAAGGGAACCUGAUUUAAAUCACGGUGUUGAAAACCUAUCAUAGAAUAGGGAUCCUAAAGUGAAUUUAAAGGUACCCACCUGUAAUUAACAGGGAAAUAUCUAAAGCUCUCUACCUUUU